UCUCCCCUGCCGGGUUCUAACUACGUGUCCGCCCGUUUAAAACCCACAUCUUUUAUACGGGACGCCAAACUCGCGCCGCGGAUUGCAGGCCUCCCGGCCCUCUUCGGAGGUGUCUGGACGUUGGAAGCGAUGAAACGGCGCGGAGGCGACCCACCUGCAUUCACGUGCAGGUUUUUAAUCGGACGGCACGGCCACGGCGGGGGGGUU
RNAcentral lists this non-coding RNA (207 nucleotides) under Candidatus Enterenecus stercoripullorum. RNAcentral's name for it is "6S RNA". It matches the Rfam family "6S / SsrS RNA". From Rfam's summary of the family: E. coli 6S RNA was the first non coding RNA to be sequenced, but its function was unknown until recently. Lineage: Bacteria; Bacillati; Bacillota; Clostridia; Eubacteriales. The record is from RNAcentral.